GUGUCAGCCGCCGCGGUAAAACGUAGGACGCAAACGUUAUCCGGAAUUACUGGGCGUAAAGGGCGCGCAGGCGGUUGAGUAAGAGAGGCAUGAAAGCCUCAGGCUAAACCUGGGGAGGCUGUCUGAGACUGCUCGACUGGAGUGCGAUAGAGGGGUGUAGAAUUCCGCGUGUAGUGGUGAAAUGCGUAGAGAUGCGGAGGAAUACCAGUGGCGAAGGCGGCACCCUGGAUCGCAACUGACGCUGAGGCGCGAAAGCAUGGGUAGCGAACGGGAUUAGAAACCCCGGUAGUCCAUGCUGUAAACGAUGUGCACUCGAUGUGCGUGUCACACUGUGGCAUGAGUGUCUAAGCAAACGCGGUAAGUGCACCGCCUGGGGAGUACGGUCGCAAGGCUAAAACUCAAAUGAAUUGACGGGG
This 416-nucleotide ribosomal RNA is filed under the name uncultured prokaryote. RNAcentral describes it as "bacterial SSU rRNA". It matches the Rfam family "Bacterial small subunit ribosomal RNA", at positions 505 to 918 of the family's 1533-position model. The record is from RNAcentral.